RNAcentral lists this ribosomal RNA (256 nucleotides) under Alexandrium margalefii. RNAcentral's name for it is "partial Bacterial large subunit ribosomal RNA". It matches the Rfam family "Bacterial large subunit ribosomal RNA", at positions 1360 to 1723 of the family's 2925-position model. The record is from RNAcentral. Lineage: Eukaryota; Dinophyceae; Gonyaulacales; Pyrocystaceae.
UAAAGCUAAUCUGAGCAGGGUAAGCCGACCCCUAAGGCGAGGCCGAAAGGCGUAGUCGAUGGGAACCAGGUUAAUAUUCCUGGGCCAGUGGGAUGUGACGGAUCGUGACUGUUGUUCACCCUUAUUGGAUUGGGUGGGCCGCUAAUCGGUUCCUGGAAAUAGCCCCACACCAGACCGUACCCUAAACCGACACAGGUGGACUGGUAGAGAAUACCAAGGCGCUUGAGAGAACGAUGUUGAAGGAACUCGGCAAAAU